GAUCCUGGCUCAGGAUGAACGCUAGCGACAGGCUUAACACAUGCAAGUCGGGGGGAAACGACAUCGAAAGCUUGCUUUUGAUGGGCGUCGACCGGCGCACGGGUGAGUAACGCGUAUCCAACCUGCCCAUCACUUGGGAAUAACCUUGCGAAAGUAAGACUAAUGCCCAAUGAUAUCCCACGAAGGCAUCCGAAUGGGAUUAAAGAUUUAUCGGUGAUGGAUGGGGAUGCGUCUGAUUAG
RNAcentral lists this ribosomal RNA (240 nucleotides) under uncultured bacterium. Its description in RNAcentral is "partial 16S ribosomal RNA". It matches the Rfam family "Bacterial small subunit ribosomal RNA", at positions 15 to 244 of the family's 1533-position model. The record is from RNAcentral.